AUGCGUGAUCAGGUCGGUAUCGACCUAGAUGGCUUCCCCCUCAACCACGAGUUCCCGGACGACUACGAGCUGGAGGAAGUGGACGAGUGCAACAUCGAUGUGGAGCCUUUGUUCGAGGACGAGCUCACCAACCAAGCCACCGGUCCUAAGCCGAAGCGCAAGAGCAAGCGAACGAAGGUGUACACAACUGCCGAGGACAAGCUUCUUUGCGAGUGUUGCCGAGACAUUGGCCAAGACCCAAAGACGGGCGCUGAGAAAAAGCAUUCGACCUUUUGGACUCGUGUGCACCGAGUGUUCUUUGAGCGCAAGAAGUUUCCACCUUACCAAUUUGUGAGCAUGCGUGGCUGGGUCUCCAUUUCCAAGCGGUGGAGGAUGAUCCAACAAGAGUGCAACAAGUUUUGCGCCACCCUUGAGAGCGUCAAGGCUCGCCCCGUGAGCGGCAUCGGCAUUCAAGACAUGGUAUGCUAG
This 468-nucleotide ribosomal RNA is filed under the name Triticum aestivum (bread wheat). RNAcentral describes it as "partial small subunit ribosomal RNA". The record is from RNAcentral. Lineage: Eukaryota; Viridiplantae; Streptophyta; Magnoliopsida; Poales; Poaceae.